This is a long non-coding RNA of Rhodamnia argentea, 209 nucleotides long. RefSeq lists it as uncharacterized. The record is from RefSeq and is a predicted model, not a curated record. NCBI's taxonomy places the organism in Eukaryota, Viridiplantae, Streptophyta, Magnoliopsida, Myrtales, Myrtaceae. The transcript has 2 exons.
UUUCUUUUCUUUUUUCGAAAAACACUUAGAGUGGGGUUCCACAAGUCAUGGUGAGGGCAUGUGGUUCCUCUUGAAAACAAUGACACAGGUUUCUUGAUUUUAUUAUUCUCCAACUUCACAUUGUAAAUGGUGCUAGCAAAACGAUUAUUUAUUUAUUUGUAGUAUACCGUGUGCUCAAACGAGUUUCGAUGCCUAAUCACAAAGACGGA